UGCAUCGGCCGGGAAUCGAACCCGGGCCGCCCGCGUUCAUUCUCGCCAUUGAACUACCGAUGC
RNAcentral lists this transfer RNA (63 nucleotides) under Cordylochernes scorpioides. Its description in RNAcentral is "tRNA-OTHER". Lineage: Eukaryota; Metazoa; Arthropoda; Arachnida; Pseudoscorpiones; Chernetidae. The record is from RNAcentral.